UACGUAGGGUGCAAGCGUUGUCCGGAAUUAUUGGGCGUAAAGAGCUCGUAGGCGGUCUGUCGCGUCGGAUGUGAAAACCCAGGGCUCAACCCUGGGCCUGCAUUCGAUACGGGCAGACUAGAGUUCGGUAGGGGAGACUGGAAUUCCUGGUGUAGCGGUGAAAUGCGCAGAUAUCAGGAGGAACACCGGUGGCGAAGGCGGGUCUCUGGGCCGAAACUGACGCUGAGGAGCGAAAGCGUGGGGGAGCAAACAGG
This 254-nucleotide ribosomal RNA is filed under the name uncultured bacterium. RNAcentral describes it as "partial 16S ribosomal RNA". It matches the Rfam family "Bacterial small subunit ribosomal RNA", at positions 524 to 776 of the family's 1533-position model. The record is from RNAcentral.